ACGAACGCUGGCGGCGUGCCUAAUACAUGCAAGUUGAGCGCUGAAGAUUGGUGCUUGCACCAAUUUGAAGAGCAGCGAACGGGUGAGUAACGCGUGGGGAAUCUGCCUUUGAGCGGGGGACAACAUUUGGAAACGAAUGCUAAUACCGCAUAAUAACUUUAAACAUAAGUUUUAAGUUUGAAAGAUGCAAUUGCAUCACUCAAAGAUGAUCCCGCGUUGUAUUAGCUAGUUGGUGAGGUAAAGGCUCACCAAGGCGAUGAUACAUAGCCGACCUGAGAGGGUGAUCGGCCACAUUGGGACUGGGACACGGCCCAAACUCCUACGGGAGGCAGCAGUAGGGAAUCUUCGGCAAUGGACGAAAGUCUGACCGGGCAACGCCGCGUGAGUGAAGAAGGUUUUCGGAUCGUAAAACUCUGUUGGUAGGGAAGAACGUUGGUGAGAGUGGAAAGCUCAUCAAGUGACGGUAACUACCCAGAAAGGGACGGCUAACUACGUG
RNAcentral lists this ribosomal RNA (496 nucleotides) under uncultured bacterium. Its description in RNAcentral is "partial 16S ribosomal RNA". It matches the Rfam family "Bacterial small subunit ribosomal RNA", at positions 29 to 507 of the family's 1533-position model. The record is from RNAcentral.